CAUCUAAGUCCUGUAGUGAACAAACCUGUUUUGUAAAACUGAAUGAACAUGUGAGCAUAACCUGUCUUUCACCUUUCCCCUCAUAUUAGGAAUAGAAGAGACACUUUGCAAUAUCAAGCAUUUUUCUUUAGUUAUACAAGAACAGCUGUUUCUUUCAUUUGGUUGCCAGGAGGAAACCCUUACAGAACUUCUGGUUUACUGCUAGAAUUGGUAGAAACAGUAAGAAAAUUAUAAAAUAUGUGAAUGACCUAACACUGCUAUGAAAAUUUAUUAGGUCAAGUUUUGAGAUGACAAAAUAUCCAUGUGUUUAUAUUAAACAUUUUUAUCCCAUAGGGCAUGCUAAUACGACUGAGAACUUAGAUGUUAUUUGACUUCAGGUGGUGGGUUUGUUCUUUCCAUUUUUAAUGUGCAGUUCUAAUUUUGUUCAGUUCUGUUUAUGUUUGUACUAGAUUGUAAGGCUUAAUAAGCUAAAACACAAAAUAAUUUACCUAUGAUGUGUUUCAGGAAUAAAACAACUACUAUUUUGUGAAAAAUAUUUUCAGAUGCAGCAGCAUUUUCAACAAUUAUGGGGAAACAGCUGUUUUUUAUCCCUCUUAAAUAUCAUCAGUCAUAUUUGAAGUAAACCAAUUAGGCCUCAGGAAGUACCACAGCCAAGGAAGUGCCUUUAAUGUACAUGAUAUUUAAAUGAUAUGAUUUCACAAUUAAGUGCAAUGUUAAAUUUAGGUAGUUCUGUCCCUGUGAUUAAAAUUUCUUUUUACUUAUGAUGGUGCAUAUGAAACAAAACCUCAUUAACUCAGAGCCUUUUUAUUCAGAAUGUGUGAUCAUUAUAGAGAAAAUAAGCUUGAAUUAAGUUCAGGGUUAUGCAUGAAAAAUUUUUUUGCUGAGUGAAGGAAAGAGAGAAGAUUUUCAUAUUUAAAACAUAUUUCUUUAUAGUGAUCAUUUUGCAGUAUUUAUAAACAUUGAAUCAUUUGUUACAUAUGAAACUAAUAUAAUGUUAUGACCAUUAUAUCUCAAUAAAAAUUUUUUAAAAAAUUAUUUGAUAAACCAAAUUAUUUCUAGUACUAUAGUAGUUAACUUUCAUGAUUAUGUUAAUUAAUUAUACUAGCUGCUGUCACUGGGAUAGAAAAUAUUCCAUGAAUUUUAUUUAUAUAAUCAUAUGUAAUCUUAGAUGGAAGGAUAAUUAAUUUCAGUUAGAAUUAAUAAACUUUUACAAUUCUCUCCAAUUCUAAGAACUAAGGACUUAUCCCAAGUCAUUCUGCUCAAUCAGGAAGGAGACCUACACCACCUAGCUCCCAAAUUUAAUUGAAUCUAGACUAUUAAAUAGCCUCUAUAUUUCAUUAGGUUAUAUCCACCACCUGCCUCUCUUCAUAAGUGUUUGUUUGUUUGUUUGUUCAUCUUUUUAGGGCCACAAUCGUGGCAUAUGGAAGUUCCUGGGCUAGGGGUAGAAUCAGAGCUGUAGCUGCCAGCUUACACCACAGCCACAGCAACAUGGGAUCCAAACUGUGUUUGCAGCCUACACCAGAGCCCACAGCAACAAGGAUCCUUAAUACAUUAAGCAAGGCCAAGGAUCAAACCUGCAUUCUCAUGGAUACUAGUCAGGUUCAUUACUACUGAGCCAUACUGGGGACUCCUCUUCAUAAGUUCUAAAGAAGAAGAUGGCAGCAUUUUUCAUAACUAGUAUUGACAGAGCUUAAAGCAAACCAGGUCCAUGGCUGGGGAACAUUCCCUCUUUACUCUUUCCUGCAUAAUUUUUUAUGAAAUCAACAGGGUCCCAUGCAGGAAGUAAAACAAAGGUGUUUCGAUAAGACCAUUCAUAGCUCUGAGAAUCCAACCCGACUUCCUUUCUGCAUAAAAUUACCUCUAACAUGAGGCUAAAAAUGGAGUUCCCAUCCUGGCGCAGUGGUUAAGGAAUCCAACUAGGAACCAUGAGGUUGCCGGUUCGAUCCCUGGCCUUGCUUAGUGGGUUAAGGAUCUGGUGUUGCCACGAGCUGUGGUGUGGGUUGCAGACACGGCUCGGAUCCGGCGUUGCUGUGGCUGUGGCAUAGGCCAGCCGCUACAGCUCCGAUUAGACCCCUAGCCUGGGAACCUCCAUAUGCUGCGCAGGAGUGGCUCAAGAAAAGGCAAAAUAAUAAUAAUAAUAAUAAUAAUAACAACAUGAGGCUAAAAAUGAAGUCCUAAUGUAAAAAAUUGGUUGGAGUUGGAACAGGAAACUUCAGCUAUAUUUUAAUUAUUCCUCAGCUCUAUAUGAGGUGUAUUUUAUGUCUAACUCACAGGAAGGUCUGUCAAAGACUGUCAAGCAGACUCUGUGCACUGUUUACUAAGAACCCAUAUUGCCCAGAGAACUGUAUAGAGCAAGGCAUUGUUCCUUAAAUAGGCCAGAAUGAAAGAGUGGUUAAUUACUGCACAUAACUAACCAGCCCAACAUGGCUACAUAAUGGUCAGUUCCUGGUUCCUGUUCGCACUGGCUUGACUUCCUCCAUUGAGCAAUCUUGAAGUUGCAUGUAUAAGGAGAUACUGCAUUUCCUCUGGAAAUUCUAGAACAUCUCUCUUCAAAAACACAAAUUUUGAUAAUAGUGGACAUGUAAAAUUAAUCAGAAGAAAAUAGAACAUGUGGCUAAGCAGAAAUGAAUCUGAUUAGUAUCCAUGAGGACACAGGAUCGAUCCCUGGCCUUGCUCAGUGGGUUAAAGAUCCAGCGUUGCUGUGAGCUGUUGUGCAGGCCUGCAGCUACAGCUCUAAUUUGACCCCUAGUCUGGAAGCUUCCAUAUGCCAUGGGUGCAGCCCUAAAAAAUCCAAAAAAAAAAAAAGAAAGAAAAGAAAAGAAAAUAGAACAUGCUAAUAUAUACAUCAAAUAACUGAAAUAGCACCAAAUCAUAUUCUCACUUUACUUAGAUUUAUUGCAAACUCAAAGACAACAGGACAACAAAAGUGGUCAAAUGGAUAACUUUCCCAGUGUUCUGUUUGUCAGUGUCUACUCUGAAAGGUAUUAAUAAUCCAGGGAAACAGACUGUCUAAUCAGAAAGGAAGAUAAUAUCAACUUUGUAAUGUUUGAGGAAACAAAGAUUAAAUAAGGAGAAAACAGGGAGUCCCCAUUGUGGCUUAGUGGUUACAAACCCAACAAGUAUCCAUGAGGAUGGGGGUUCUCUAUCCCUUACCUUGCUCAGUGGGUGAAGGACCCAGCUUUGUCAUGAACGGUGGUGUAGGUCACAGAUGUGGUUUGGAUCCUACAUUGCUGUGGCUGUGGUGUAGGCUGGCACCUGCAGCUCCAAUUUGACCCCUAGCCUGAGAACUUCCAUAUGCUGCAGGUGCAGCCAUAAAAAGCAGAUAAAUAAAAAAAUAAGACAACAGAAAUUUCACAAGGUUACAUUACACAUAUGGGAAGGCAGAGGUGGGUAACUUCCUCUUCAAACUUCUUUGCAACUGGCAGAUUCAAGAAUAACUUCCACUUUAUAAAAGACUCAUCCAGACCACACUGACAUAGGUCUGUGACCGUCCCCUCAUCUUUAUAUGAGUGCUACUCACAAGGAAAGCCUCAAAAAGAAAUUCCUGGGACUACGAAAUCUGAAUCUCAGAUAAGGAGUUUUACUAAUUUAGGGCCUCUAGCCAUAUCCAUCAUUGAAACAGAAUAUACUUUAUAUUUUGGAGGACUAUUGACAGGGCUAUGGACAGGAUUAGACCCAGGGCACCUAAGACAUAAAUGUUUAGCUUAUGAUAUCUCUCUUCCUCUCUCUUUGUACCUUUUCUCUAAAUUAAUAUUAUAUUUUUUUGUAAUAGCACUAGAUACUUUGCCCUAUUAUUGGCUGAUUUUCUCACGCAUUCUGUGUGUAUUGACAGUACAUAUUCAAGCCAGGAAUAGAGGUUAUUGUUAUUUUUAUAAUAUUAUUGAUAUUGGUAUAAUUUACUCCUUAAAAGCAGAAACAUUCAAGCCACAUUCACUGUUUAUAUAGAGACACAUAUGCAAAAAGCAAGAGACACAAGGAGACAAUAAGCAUUAUCAAUGCCUAUGACCAUUCGUGGAGUGCAGAAGAAAUACAUUUUCCCCCACAUUUGGAGAAUAAUGAAACUUUAGUUCACUACAGGAGCAGAAGGGGCGACCAAUGUUCAAAACUAAUCAUGCUCGCUCUGAGAAAAAGCAACUCAGAAAGGAAAAAUUGACAAAAUAUCUGCAUAGCUUGCACUUCAGAUAUAAUUUAAUUUAGUCAAAAGGGUCCAUUAGACAAGAAGCCUUAGAAUAGAAUAGUAAAGAUGAUGAGUCAUUUAAUAAUUCUUAAUGAAGAGCAAGUGAUAAGGAAGAGUCAGCUUGGAGGCUGGGUUUAUAGCAAUCAGCUCUUUUUUGACUAUCACUUUGCUAUUCAUGUUUAUUCAUUCACCCAUUCAUUUAAUUCAUUUCAUCCGUCCUAUCUAUGUUUGUUCAUCAAAUAAGUAUUGAUUACACACUAUAUGACAAAUAUAAUGCAUAGACAAUGAAAAGAUAUUUAUGGUAUUGACUUCAUGAACUACACAGCAUAGUAAAGAAACAAAAAUAUAAAUUAAACAAAUACAUGAAUGGAUAUUUUUUUUUCCCUUUGUAGUAAGCAUUUGCAGGAAAUAAACAGGGUGGUGAGUUAGCGACAUCAUUAGGUUGGAGUGGGAAGAAAAGCCUCUUCUCAAAAGAUCCAUUUAUGCUGAUUCCUGAGGAAGUCAAAAGAGUAAGACAUUCAAAGCCAUCGAAGUGAGGUUUUAGCCAGACAGAAGAAAUGUCAGAUUUGGAAAGUUAGAAAAACACCGGAGACUUGAAUGGCUUGAGAGUGGUGAGCAAGGUAGAGAAGGCCAUGAGGUUAACCUGCAGAAGGGGCAGCUCCUUCGGAAUCCUCUUUACUAUCUUUUAUGAUACUUGCUGGUGGCAGGUGGGGUGUGUGGAAACAGGAAGCUGUCGGGAAGUUGUUGGACUCGUCCUACUGAAAGGUGAUGAAGAUGUGAAGAGGGGAGGUGAGAAUGAAGAUGUAUGUUACUGUAGAACAAAAUUUUACUUGCAGCACAAACAGGAUUUAGUGAUUCAGAGAAAGAGAAAUCAAAGCUGUCUUUGUUUGUAAGCUGAACAACUGACAUGAUGAGGUUGCAUUUGCUUAAAUACUGAUGAGCAGAGGAGAGAUAAACAAGAAGUUUAGGUAUGACCUAAAUGCUCCUUUUGGACAUAUCUGGUUUGACAGGCAUAUCAUACCACCAAAGUGGGCUUCCCAAAAGUAAACUUCUUUUUGUGGUGCUCGAAGAUACAACCAGCUGUGUUGUUUUACAAGGAUCCUUUUGGAAAAAUAAUGAUUUACAUUCAGUAAAUAGUUUGAUUUUUAAAAAUAUUUGGUCUGAAACUUUUAGGCAUAGUCCAUCUAAUUGGCCAGAAAACCUUUGAAGCUCCUGAUUUUGUUUGAAAUUAUGUUCUUCACAAACCAAACCAGGAAAGCAGACACAGACAAACGCAUACACCUAGAGUUCAUAGAAGCUUUAAUAAUAGAGCCAGAAGUCACCAUUAGUACAGGAAAACAGAGGCUGUAGCUGCAAAAUGUUGGGGAAAAAAAAUCAUUGGACAAAAAGUCAAUACCUAGGGUUAAAUCUAAGCUUUUUAUUUAUAAGAUGCAUGCCUCUGCAAUCUUGGUUUCCUUACCUAUAAAUCAGACAUAAAUUCCUAUCCCAAGGUUUAUGCAAGAAUGAUGCACAAACAUGUAAAAAUGCUGAAGAAUUUAUAUGCACACUUAAGAUAGUUCAUUGAAGCAAUCUUCUGGGUUUUAUCAAAUCUAUGGUUUUGAAGACACAGAACCUAUUACUGUAUUAUCUUCUUACUUUAUUUUGCCCACCUGAUCUCAACUUGCAGUUUCAAAGGAAAUAUUGCUGACCCCAAGCUUCCUUUUUCAUUUUGAACUGGUGGAUUCCAAAGUUCUGAUAAAGGGAGAAUUAUCGCACAUUGUCCAGCACUUUGUAUUGCACCAAAUCCUUCCUAGGUCUGUGAUUUUUUUUUUUAAUUUCUAAGGAGAUUUUAUUUAAAGUCAACCUGGAGAAUAUCUCUUACAAUAACCCUUCUGGCAACCAAUGCUACAUUUUUUUUAAUUUAUAAGUGUAAUUUUGGACCUGAGUUUUUUUUUUAAUUUUUUAAUUAAAAAAAUUUUAUUGUUAUUUCCCCGGUACAUUUUUUUUUCUACUGGGCAUCAUGGUGACCCAGUUACACAUACAUAUAUACAUUCUUUUUUUUCUCAUUAUAAUGCUCCAUCAUAAGUGACUAGACAUAGUUCUCAAUGCUACGCAGCAGGA
RNAcentral lists this long non-coding RNA (6277 nucleotides) under Sus scrofa (pig). RNAcentral describes it as "lncRNA (ENSSSCG00000061285.1)". The record is from RNAcentral. Lineage: Eukaryota; Metazoa; Chordata; Mammalia; Artiodactyla; Suidae.